GAUCCUGGCUCGGGAUGAACGCUGGCGGCGUGCUUAACACAUGCAAGUCGAACGAAGCACUUUAUUUGAUUUCCUUCGGGACUGAUUAUUUUGUGACUGAGUGGCGGACGGGUGAGUAACGCGUGGGUAACCUGCCUUGUACAGGGGGAUAACAGUUGGAAACGGCUGCUAAUACCGCAUAAGCGCACAGCAUCGCAUGAUGCAGUGUGAAAAACUCCGGUGGUAUAAGAUGGACCCGCGUUGG
This 244-nucleotide ribosomal RNA is filed under the name uncultured bacterium. RNAcentral describes it as "partial 16S ribosomal RNA". It matches the Rfam family "Bacterial small subunit ribosomal RNA", at positions 15 to 239 of the family's 1533-position model. The record is from RNAcentral.